Molecule: ribosomal RNA, 431 nt
Filed under: uncultured bacterium
Lineage: Bacteria
Description: partial 16S ribosomal RNA
Rfam family: Bacterial small subunit ribosomal RNA
Source: RNAcentral
AACGAACGCUGGCGGCAGGCUUAACACAUGCAAGUCGAACGCCCCGCAAGGGGAGUGGCGCACGGGUGAGUAACGCGUGGAUAUCUGCCCUUUGGUUCGGAAUAACCCCGGGAAACUGGGGCUAAUACCGGAUGGUUCCUACGGGAUAAAGAUUUAUCGCCAAAAGAUGAGUCCGCGUACGAUUAGCUAGUUGGUGAGGUAAUGGCUCACCAAGGCGACGAUCGUUAGCUGGUCUGAGAGGACGAUCAGCCACACUGGGACUGAGACACGGCCCAGACUCCUACGGGAGGCAGCAGUGGGGAAUAUUGGACAAUGGGGGCAACCCUGAUCCAGCCAUGCCGCGUGAGUGAUGAAGGCCUUCGGGUUGUAAAGCUCUUUUGGCGGGGACGAUGAUGACGGUACCCGCAGAAUAAGCCCCGGCUAACUUCGUG